Molecule: ribosomal RNA, 1436 nt
Filed under: uncultured organism
Description: 16S ribosomal RNA
Rfam family: Bacterial small subunit ribosomal RNA
Source: RNAcentral
GCUUAACACAUGCAAGUCGAGGGGCAUCAGGAAGAAAGCUUGCUUUCUUUGCUGGCGACCGGCGCACGGGUGAGUAACACGUAUCCAACCUGCCCUUUACUCGGGGAUAGCCUUUCGAAAGAAAGAUUAAUACCCGAUGGCAUAAUGAUUCCGCAUGGUUUCAUUAUUAAAGGAUUCCGGUAAAGGAUGGGGAUGCGUUCCAUUAGGUUGUUGGUGAGGUAACGGCCCACCAAGCCUUCGAUGGAUAGGGGUUCUGAGAGGAAGGUCCCCCACAUUGGAACUGAGACACGGUCUAAACUCCUACGGGAGGCAGCAGUGAGGAAUAUUGGUCAAUGGGCGGUAGCCUGAACCAGCCAAGUAGCGUGAAGGAUGAAGGCUCUAUGGGUCGUAAACUUCUUUUAUAUAAGAAUAAAGUGCAGUAUGUAUACUGUUUUGUAUGUAUUAUAUGAAUAAGGAUCGGCUAACUCCGUGCCAGCAGCCGCGGUAAUACGGAGGAUCCGAGCGUUAUCCGGAUUUAUUGGGUUUAAAGGGAGCGUAGGUGGACUGGUAAGUCAGUUGUGAAAGUUUGCGGCUCAACCGUAAAAUUGCAGUUGAUACUGUCAGUCUUGAGUACAGUAGAGGUGGGCGGAAUUCGUGGUGUAGCGGUGAAAUGCUUAGAUAUCACGAAGAACUCCGAUUGCGAAGGCAGCUCACUGGACUGCAACUGACACUGAUGCUCGAAAGUGUGGGUAUCAAACAGGAUUAGAUACCCUGGUAGUCCACACAGUAAACGAUGAAUACUCGCUGUUUGCGAUAUACAGUAAGCGGCCAAGCGAAAGCAUUAAGUAUUCCACCUGGGGAGUACGCCGGCAACGGUGAAACUCAAAGGAAUUGACGGGGGCCCGCACAAGCGGAGGAACAUGUGGUUUAAUUCGAUGAUACGCGAGGAACCUUACCCGGGCUUAAAUUGCAGUGGAAUGAUGUGGAAACAUGUCAGUGAGCAAUCACCGCUGUGAAGGUGCUGCAUGGUUGUCGUCAGCUCGUGCCGUGAGGUGUCGGCUUAAGUGCCAUAACGAGCGCAACCCUUAUCUUCAGUUACUAACAGGUCAUGCUGAGGACUCUGGAGAGACUGCCGUCGUAGGAUGUGAGGAAGGUGGGGAUGACGUCAAAUCAGCACGGCCCUUACGUCCGGGGCUACACACGUGUUACAAUGGGGGGUACAGAAGGCAGCUAGCGGGUGACCGUAUGCUAAUCCCAAAAGCCUCUCUCAGUUCGGAUCGAAGUCUGCAACCCGACUUCGUGAAGCUGGAUUCGCUAGUAAUCGCGCAUCAGCCACGGCGCGGUGAAUACGUUCCCGGGCCUUGUACACACCGCCCGUCAAGCCAUGGGAGCCGGGGGUACCUGAAGUACGUAACCGCAAGGAUCGUCCUAGGGUAAAACUGGUGACUGGGGCUAAG